This 23-nucleotide non-coding RNA is filed under the name Cricetulus griseus (Chinese hamster). Lineage: Eukaryota; Metazoa; Chordata; Mammalia; Rodentia; Cricetidae. The record is from RNAcentral.
UAGCUGGAGGAACUAAAAUCAUG